AUUGAACGCUGGCGGCAUGCUUUACACAUGCAAGUCGAAACGGGGUGAGGAGCUUGCUCCUCAUCUAGUGGCGAACGGGUGAGUAAUACAUCGGAACGUACCGUGUAGUGGGGAUAACGUAGCGAGAGUUACGCUAAUACCGCAUACGAUCCACGGAUGAAAGCAGGGGACCUUCGGGCCUUGUGCUAUACGAGCGGCCGAUGUCUGAUUAGCUAGUUGGUGGGGUAAAGGCCCACCAAGGCAACGAUCAGUAGCGGGUCUGAGAGGAUGAUCCGCCACACUGGGACUGAGACACGGCCCAGACUCCUACGGGAGGCAGCAGUGGGGAAUUUUGGACAAUGGGCGCAAGCCUGAUCCAGCCAUGCCGCGUGUCUGAAGAAGGCCUUCGGUUGUAAGGACUUUAGUCUAGGAGCGAAACCCAAGCAGCUAAUAUCUGUUGGGAGUGAGAGUACC
RNAcentral lists this ribosomal RNA (453 nucleotides) under uncultured bacterium. RNAcentral's name for it is "bacterial SSU rRNA". It matches the Rfam family "Bacterial small subunit ribosomal RNA", at positions 30 to 479 of the family's 1533-position model. The record is from RNAcentral.